UUCUUUCCCCGUUUCUUCCCUGUCUCAGUUUUCUGUUUACUCCCCCUCUCCAACCCCAGAGAGAAAGCUCGUCUGGCUGAGAAAGGGAGACCCAUGAAUGACAAUUCCUCAAAAAAGAAGAGCAACCAGCAAAGACUAACCAAAGGCCUCAAACAGACAUCUGGAUUUGAGUGUUAAUGAACAUUUUGUCAGCAUAGACAUGGCCGCCCGUGUUCAGCACUUAGCCAUGGUGGCUAACAUACACGUCUUCACCCGACCACAUAACUUACCAUCCUGUGAGAAUGCAUGUAUCACACUGUUAGUCUUCUCUCAGAAUAUUUUGUCUGGGAAAAUACAAGACUGUAAUGUAAAACCUUUGAGUCCCUUCAGACCAUGCCAAAUGUCACUGUCACACAUAUUUUUAACAAGAGUGAAAUAUAAUUGGAGCGGUGAACUCCAAGGGGAUGCCCACGCUUCAUGGGGCUGUGGCAGAUAGACGGUUAGAGAUGUGGGAAUGGAUGGUUUCCAUACAGGUCCCAAGGAUCUGUUGCUUUGUGGAUGUGGUGAAUUGUGGCACUAACAUGCCCCAGACUUCACUUAAUGAAACAAAUUAACAUUUCAUUUUAUCGUUUUCUCAUUUGCUAAAUGCACUACGAAAGAAGAUGCUCAAGAGCAUGUGACUAACAGCUUAUUAAACUUGGGACAACAAGAAUAAUAAUGUCACAGAUGGGGUUACACUCAUCUUGCAUCAAAAACCAAAACCAUAAUACAUUUGAAUCCUGAGUGUUUUAUAUAUGUAGCUUAAGAAGCUUGUGUUAGCCUCCAGAGUUAAGUGCCGGACACUGACAGCCAUUUUUAUGCUAAUAUAAUGUUUGCAAUCCCAAUGUUGGUGGAAGACUUUGGACAUUUGUCAGUCCUAUGAUUUUCUGAGGAAAUGUUCAACUCGAGUCUCCUGGCUGA
Molecule: long non-coding RNA, 939 nt
Organism: Thalassophryne amazonica
Lineage: Eukaryota; Metazoa; Chordata; Actinopteri; Batrachoidiformes; Batrachoididae
Exons: 2
Source: RefSeq, a predicted model, not a curated record